GGACGAACGCUGGCGGCGUGCUUAACACAUGCAAGUCGUACGGUAAGGCCCUUUCGGGGUACUCGAGUGGCGAACGGGGGCGUAACACGAGAGUAACCUGCCCCCACCUUUGGGACAACGCUAGGAAACUGGUGCCAAUACUGGAUAUGUGCUCCUGCUGCAUGGUGGGGGUUGGAAAGCUCCGGCGGUUGUGGGUGGACUUGCGGCCUAUCGGCUUGUUGGUGGGGUAGUGGGCUACCAAGGCGGCGUCGGGUAGCCGGCCUGAGAGGGUGACCGGCCACAUUGGGACUGAGGUACGGCCCCGACACCUACGGGAGGCAGCAGUGGGGAAUAUUGCACAAGGGGCGCAAGCCUGAUGCAGCAACGCCGCGUGCGGGAUGACGGCCUUCGGGUUGUAAACCGCAUUCAGCAGGGACGAAGCUUUUUGUGACGGUACCUGCAGAAGAAGCACCGGCUAACUACGUG
This 465-nucleotide ribosomal RNA is filed under the name uncultured bacterium. RNAcentral's name for it is "partial 16S ribosomal RNA". It matches the Rfam family "Bacterial small subunit ribosomal RNA", at positions 27 to 507 of the family's 1533-position model. The record is from RNAcentral.